Long non-coding RNA from Pseudophryne corroboree (corroboree frog), 7126 nucleotides. RefSeq lists it as uncharacterized. The record is from RefSeq and is a predicted model, not a curated record. Lineage: Eukaryota; Metazoa; Chordata; Amphibia; Anura; Myobatrachidae. The transcript is spliced from 4 exons.
UACCAGUUCAUUAAUUCCUGCUUUUGUCAGUUCUGUUUCGUUUUCCUCACUGCUACUUUUCUCCUUGUUUCUGUGCCCUCGCUGGUUGUGCCCCGUCAGCAUCUCCCCCUGCAGGAUGCCCCGCCCAUGUAGAUCAGUGCCCGCCGCCUCGCCGAGGCCGCACACCCUCUCACUGUGGCUGGUUACUGCCGGCCGCAUGUGCGGGUGGUCUCCCCCCUGCUGCGCCGUCCGCCUGAGAGCUUUUACUGCUCUCCUCGAGCGGCUGUGGCUCCCCUGCGGCCGCAGUGCCCGGCGGCCGGUGCGGCAGUAGAGCCGAGCGCGCCGGUGCCGGAGCUCUGUCCUCCCUGCCUCUCCCCAUGGUGGUGACCGCAUCAGGUGACCUAGUUGGCGGGUCCCGCGGUGCCGCUGCAUGCCGCGUCCAGCCAGUGCUCUCCCCAGCCAGCUCCCCUGCGGGUGCCUGGCUCCUGGAGGUCAUCCCUUCUCUCUCCGUGGUUGCAGGUGCAGUGAGGGGGCGGAGCCUGGGCUUACCAUUACCUCUGAUGGCGUUGCCAGUACCCUGCUUCCCUCCGCUGUGCAUCCGGUUUCCGCCACGCAUAUGCCAUUGCAGACGCCGGCAAUUGGUGCGGACGGUCAGGCAUUUGGGAUCCAUCCGGGUGCGCUCCCGGUGUCACAGAUCCUGCUGCCACCAGCCGGCGGCCAAUGGCAGAGAGCGGAUGUGCCACCUGCUGGACAGCUCGGUAUAAUGCAGGUGGUGUCCGCUCACAGUGCCCUGUCCGCUUCAUUUGCGGUACCGGGCGACGCGACGCGAGCGGCUCCCUCGGGUUCCUGCCAGCUCCUGCUGUGUCGAUGGCCUGGUCAGGGGCACUACAAUUUCCCAUCAUGACCUCAGCGGUGUCGCCUAGUUUACACAGUGUGCGGGCCCCUCUUCUUCCCCUUAUUUGCCGGCAAUGUUUAUGCACGCGCAUGGCUCUGUAACAUCGUGGCCCGUCCCUGCGGGCCCGGGGUUGGCCCCCUUUUCAGGGUCUUACGCCGGGGGAAUUUUCACACGAGGCCCUCCCGCAGACACCAUAUUGGUCGGCGCCUUUCAUGCAGGCUCCGUACGCAUGGCACCCGGGUUUCACCGCUCCAGCUCCCUGGCCUCCCUCCUUUGGUAUGGCCGUUAGCGCAGCGAAUGCGGAGCUGGUGGCCACGCCGAUCCCCUUUUCCCAGCUUCCCCUUUCUUUCCCCCCUCCCUUGCCUUCUAUCCCGCCUGCCGCCGGGUUUGUCCCCCCCUUCUGGCUCCCCAUUACGUGUUGACGUGUCGAGGGAGGUCUCUCCUCCCGGUGGGUCAUCCGUGACCAUGGCAGUGUCGGGUCCUGUUGCAGUGCAGAGGAGGGCAUUGACGCAGCAGAGUGGGCCUUCGGGAACAGGCGAAGCUGGGGGAUCUCGGGUCCCUGAAGAGGAGCUGUCUGCGUCCGAAGAGGUGGGAGGUCCUUCUGGAACUGAGAGAUGGCAGCUGAUCUCAAGCAACAAGACAAAGUGGCACUGAUUGACUUAUGAACAGCUGGAAGUUUAGCUAAAGCAUGAGAUCCAUCAACACUACAGUGGUGCCUGUAUGAUUUAUCCGGAGCAGACUUCUGCAUUGAAAGCCUCAUUACUGCACGCUAAAUGAAAUAAAUGGCUUUUAAAUAUUUUAACAAAAUGUUGACCGUAAUACUAGCAUGUGGCCAUUAGAUAUGCUGUCUCAGCUAGUAAUAAUCCUCACCCACAUGUGGUCCCUAUUGAUUAACAUAGCCGGUGUGACAUUUGCCUCUGUGUGCUCAAUAAACAGCCUGUAAUAUGUCAUAAUUCACAGCUUAAAAGAAAAGAAAGCUGACAGUGAAAUCCAGGAGCGUUAUACUCCAUGUAAAAAAAUAAAUAUUAAUUGCAUAAUUUAUGCCAUUUUCUCAAGUGCCACACUGAAUACAGUGCCAGAUUCUUGCAUCUUCAUCACAGCAGGUGUACAUGGUUGAAGAGGGUAUCUAAUUUGUGUGAUAUUGGGUUGCCUCUGAGGCUGAAUAAGAGGAUGCUGUCAUCUACAGUAUAAUGGAGCUAUAACCAUUAAGGGUCACUUACAAACUUAGAAAAAUACAUAGACCCUCACUGAUUUUUUUUGUUUAACAAACCCCUCAAAGGUGCACACACACUGAGGGGUGCCGAGAGGGGCAGGGGAGUGGGUACUAAUUAUCCCAGCCUGGCAUUGUCAUAGCGGGCAAGCUAUCUGUGGAGGAUGAGAAAUGUCCCCCUCUGCAGCAUACAAUGCUACUUGCGCAUAGCAUUUUUCUGUAUUCUUUUCUGGAAGGGUGUGAAUAUGCCUCCCAGAAUUUGUCCAGGCCUGCAUUUUGUCUUUGCGAUCCUGCACAAACCUGUUUAAUUGAACUUCUGUGCAAAAAAGGUGUGCACCUAAAUUUGCAGAAUGCCAACACUAUGGUUAGGCUGCAGGACAGGAGGGUUAGGCCAAAGGCAUAGCUACCAUAGGUGCAGGGAGUGCAGCUGCUAUGGGGCCCAGAGCUGAGAGGGGCCCACGUUCCCUGUCACAGUUACAUGUGUUAUAUUAAAAAAAAAAUGUUUACCGUUGGUAGAUACAUAGGAGCCCUUAUAAACUUUUGCCUUGGGGUCUGCAUGUAUAAUGUUACAUAAAAUGAAGUGGGACAUUGUAACAUGGCACAAUAUGAGGCGGAGUCACUAUAUUGUAGCAUAAUAUGAACUGGAGGCAGGAUAGUGUGGCAUAACAUGAACUUGGGGCACUAUGGUGUGACAAAAUAUGAGCUCGGGACACUAUAUGUCAUAAUAUGAACUGAUGGCACUGUAAUAUGGCAUAAUGUGACUAGGCCACUACUAUGGUUCAUAAAAUAAACUAGGGCUGUACUAUGGUUCAUAAAAUAAACUAGGGCUCUAGUAUGGUUCAUAAAAUGAACUAGGGCACUAUUAUGGGGCAUACAAUGCACAAUUACUGCAGAGAAGUGUCCCUCUAGAAGCACAGGGACAGGGGCCCCUUCAUAAUGUUGCUGUGGGGCCCACAAAGUUCUGGCUGCGCCCCUGGGUUAGGCACUGAGAGAGUAAGGUUUGGGCUGCGGGUGGGAAAGUUAGGUUAAGGCACUAAGUGGAUUAGGGUUGGGCCAUUAUUUGGGCUCUGCUACCGCUGCGCUCCGCACAUGUUACUAUUCCCAAUCGUAGUCCACGUGGAUAGUAAAGUAUGAAAAAGUUUUUAAAAAAUUAGAAAAAAUUGGAAAAACUCAUGUCGACCUUUCAUGUGGCGACCUCUGCCACAUCGACCUAGUGACCAUGUUGACCUAAUGCAUGUCCACCCAUAGUGGUUGACCCAAUGAGUGUCGACCUAAGUGUUGUUGACCUAAAGACAGGAUGCCGUUUUCUACAGGAGAGCCAUUGGUGAGGUAUACUACAGUAUACUGUGACAAACCUCGGAUAGUAGUAGAAAUGACAGAAAAUCCAGUGAAGCCAGAGUAUGCAGGAUGCUCACUUUAACCUGCUUGUUCCAUCACUGAUUCUCCUACAUCCCUGAUGAAAGUUCUGCUUCAGAGGAUUAUUUUGAUUUAAAUGCAAAACACAGGGAUAUAACCAAGUCAUCCAAAGCCUUAUCUCCCUUUCAGCUUAAAAAGGACUUUGUGAUCUCCUUGUCAACAGCAGAUAUGUCAUAGUGCAAGGUUAUUUACAAACAUUUCUGGUUCUCUGCAAGAGUACAGCAUAGCAAGAGAAACACAUACUGUAUGUAAUCCCAGAAACAUAACUUGAACUAUCGGAAUACAGUAUUAUUAUAAAACAAAUAAGCAGUUGAUGUGUAAGCUCAUAGAACUCGAAUCAAAUUCACAGGACAGACACCUAUGCAGAAUGUCAGAGGAGCAUAGUAGAGCUUAUCCCUGUGCUAACAGCAAGUGGUUUAUAGGUUGAACAAUCGGUUCCACUAUCUAACAAUAUAUUUAUUUACUGUAAACAAACAUUUUUCUUUUAUAUUACAUGAAUAAUAUUCAGUAACAUGUAUUGGUCAUUAUUUAUCUGGGAUAAGGUCAUUAGGUCGACACAGCUUAGGUCGACAGUCAUUAGGUCAACAUGUACUAGGUCGACAGGUCAAAAGGUCGACAUGAGUUUUUCACAUUUGUAAAUUUUUUGGGACUUUUUCAUACUUAAUAAUCCACGUGGACUACAAUUGGAUCGGUAACCUGUGCCGAGCGAAGCGAGGCACCUUGCCCGAAGCAUGGCGAGUGAAGCGAGCCAUGCGAGGGGACACGGUGCAGUAAUUGGGGUUUCCCGUCACUUUAUGAAUUAAACGAUGCCAAAAACAGUAAAAAAAAACAUGUCGACCUUUUGACCCGUCAACCUAGUACAUGUCAACCUAAUGACCAUGUCGACCUAUUGUCCCUGUCGACCUAAUGACUGUCGACCUAAGUUGUGUCUAUCCAACGACCCAUACCCAUUUAUCUAAUAAUAAUGGAGAGAAUGCUAUGUACAGUAGUAGUACCACUAAUACAAGAAAAAAAUAACCUACUAUAUAAAGAUAAACUUCAGUAAUAAUAUUCUUGUAUCACUUCAUAGCACUCUUAUAGUACUAAGAAACUUUUUCACACCAUCCCGGAACUUGGAAGGAUUAAUUAUUUCAGCUGUACUGAUCCAGGAAAUAAUUGGUACUACAACUGAAUUAGGCCACAGUGCCCUGCAGUCCCCAGGAACCACCAAAGACCAUUCCCUGUCAGAUUGCCACAAUUGUGUGCACAUCAGCACAACUGAAAUGCAAUAUUACUGGGUAGGUUGAGCAGCAGCAGCUAAGAGCAGCUAGGAGAGAGCAGCCCAGACUGACAACUGCCCUUGAGCAGUUCUGAUUUCGGGAAUCUCUCCUGCACAGGUCCUGUGUUGCUAAUCCGAUCCAUGCCUACCAGGAGCUUUAAUCAUGCUGCAGUGUUCUAUGGAGGAAGGGUCAGAGUGCUGCUUAUGUUACUGUUCAAUAAAAUUGUAAGUCUGUACGGUUCCUCAGUGACAUCUAUGGGAGUCAUCGGUGCUCUCCAAAGAGUUCCUCCCCACACGGAGCAGCAAUGGUGGGAGCUGCAGUGAAUAACAGAUUUUUACACUGGGUACUGUAACAUGUUGUAUUCUGUAGGGGUUUGUAGCUUGGGUCACACAUGUCAAGGGGAUAGUAGUGGGGGAGCAUAUGUUUCAAGGGAAGAAUAGUAGGAAGUGCUAAACAUUAACUUUAAUUAUAUUAAUAAUUGCGCAUACUGCACAUUGUAGCCAGAAUUUUUAUUUGUCAGCACCAAAGAACUUGGCAUACCUAACAAUAUUCCUAACUGGAAAAUCACACCAACCAAGCCACAUCCUUAUCCAUCCACAUCAUGUACAUUUCAUGUCAGGUAACUGAACCCCAGGACUGUUGCUCACAAAUCGGUAAGUGUUAAUCAGAUCCUAUCAGAUAUAAGGUAAUGCUCUUGCCUAGGUUGCAUUGCUGCCUGUUUUGUCUAUUUGUAAAGUCAGCUAUAUAAAUCCUAUCCAACCAUCAGAUUAUACCAUAGCUAAAGGGGACUGAUCACUACACUCAUUUACAAAAGAUAAGAUAUUGUUGUCAAACAUAACUUUGCAGAAAUUUUGCACCGCAUGUUGGAUUACAAAACAUAGUUGGCUGCUUCCAAACUCCACAUUUAAUCCAUUAGUUAGUUACUGAUGUGUACUGUAACUUAUAUCUAGUCUUGUUUUAACUGUUUAUGAAAAGAACUUGCAACAUCUUUUUUCAGUUUUUUAAGGGGUCUAUACAAAGACCAAAGAUUAGAUGGCAGGUCCACUUACAGAAACAUAAUGGUGUAUUUCUCUUCACCGAUGUUAUGGCAUGAGAAAGGCAUAAUUGUAAUUAGCACUGCAAAUGCACAGAAGAAAGUCUGCAGAGAGGGGAGGAGAGGAGGGUACAACGCAUGGGGGAGGCAUAGACUCCCAUAAUGGCUAUGCCAUAAUUUUUGAAUGAGGUGAGCACUAUAAAUCAUCCAAGAUGGUCCAGGUUCUCCUUUGUGGAAGAUCAAUAAUCUCUGGGGUACACACUGUACAUAAGGAAGUCACAAGGAAAAAUCACCACCAGAUAACAAAUGGAGAGACACAGUAGUACUGUUAGUACUUUGGAAACUUUGAAAUACUAUUUAAGACAAAAGAGUUACAUUUGGUUUAACAAAAAAAAAUUACUAGUUAUAAAGGCAACCUGAAAGAAAUAAAAAUAAGUUACAAAGGUCAUUGUAUAGUAAAUUCUCGUACUCGUAAUAAUAACUUGUUUUUUUUCUCCUGGGUAGCUCCUCAGACAACACCUUCUGUUUGAAAUAAUUCAAAGAGCUAUAAAAGACAUUUCACCAUAUAUGAAAAGUUCAAGAAAAAAAACAACAAGUAACUGAGGUCCUGGUGGCUGCAUGGUCCUCCUCUAUCUACAGCCCACCCCUCCUGGUAGUCACACACGUUGUGUCUGUUGGACAGCAUUCAUCCCCAUCUCAGGUACCAGUGGUUUCCUUUUCCACCACGGCGUAUGUGAUGUCAAGCUAUCAUCGCUGCUGAAGUGAAGAAAAGCCAUGAAGAGGAGGAGACUCUGUGCAUAUUGAAGAUAAGAUGAGAGGGGUCUGGAGGGAAAAGAAAGGUGGGGAAGCUGCUGGAGGGAUAUAGGGCAUGGAGCUUCUGGGGGGACACAGGUGGUGAGCUGCUCGAGUGGCAGAAACAGAUAUGUGUAUAAGGGGCACUACUGUGGGAAUUAUGUUGAUAAGCGGCACUACUGUGGUCAUUAUGUGUAAGGGGCACUACUACUGUGGGCAUUAUGUGUAAGGGGCACUACUGUGUGCAUUGUAUAUAAGGGGCACUACUGUGUGACAUAAUGUGUCUAAAGGGUAUCAUUGUGUAGCACAACAUAAAUAAAGACCACUACUAAAUGAAAUAACCAUAAUAAGGAGCACUACUAUGUGGUGUAAUAUGAAUCAGGGGCACUACAUGCGGUGUAAUGUGAAUAAGAUUGUGCUUCUGUAAUUUGAAUUGGGGGUACUAUUGUGUGAACAUGCUAUUUCUUUGUGAGAUCAAUGUCCCUUUAUAAAGUAUAGGAAGUAGGGCACUAAUUUAUAGUUUGCAGGGUGGUGCCAAAAAA